UAUCGCUCUGAUGCUCUUCUUCUUUCGCAGAUCUGCUGCACGGAGCUUGCCUGAAAACGCUCUUGACGAGUGGCGACUUGCAUGGUUCUUCGCCGCAUGCGUGCCCGUCCUGUUCAUCUGUGGUACGCCGAAAGUUAGUCACAGAUCUUCGAAAUAAAACGUACCUCUUUUCUGAAAGGUAUGGCCUCCGAAGAACUUCAGAGAUCUUGGCACUGGCCUCCCUCUCGUUCUAAAGCAGGCAAUCUCUCAGGUGCGUUCCUCUUUCCCUUCCUGUAG
This 276-nucleotide long non-coding RNA is filed under the name Selaginella moellendorffii. RNAcentral's name for it is "long non-coding RNA (SMOE_LNC001334)". Lineage: Eukaryota; Viridiplantae; Streptophyta; Lycopodiopsida; Selaginellales; Selaginellaceae. The record is from RNAcentral.